GAGUGGCACAAUGGGUCAGUGCAUCUGCCUGUUAACCAGAAGGUUGGUGGUUUGAGUCCAGUCAUGGACA
This is a non-coding RNA of Podarcis lilfordi (Lilford's wall lizard), 70 nucleotides long. The record is from the annotation of a GenBank genome assembly. Lineage: Eukaryota; Metazoa; Chordata; Lepidosauria; Squamata; Lacertidae.